UUUAAUAUAGUGCCAUCUAUAGGAGUUAUUUCAAUUUUUUCGAUUCUUUUCAAUAUUUUCAAUUAUUUCGGUAAUUUCGAUUCCUAUCCCUAUAAUUAUUUAAUUUAAAUCUUUUUUUAUACAGAUCUCAGCAUCCCAUUCAAGCCAAAGCUUAUAUUAAGGCAAAGAAUGACAAGGUAGUGCAACUGGCUGCUGACAGGGAGGAAGUUGAAAAGGAGCUUGAUAGAUCUUCAAGUUUGAGAGGUUUCUUUCCAGCCACAACCACUAGUAAAAAAAGGCUGGAUAACCUUAGUAAAAAGUCUCCACCAUCCAGUCAGCAAGGUGAUCAUGAAAAACUUCAAGUAACUCUGGAUGAGUAUGUUAAGAUAGAGUGAUUAGCACUGUCUCUAGAAACUGCAACAACUUACCCAUAUAUAUUAGAUAACUAAAUGGGAUUCACAAAGCAGCUGUCAGCUUGAUUUUGAUACAGUUCUCACUCUGGCCUGCAUCAUGUCAAAUCUUCCUUUCAAUAUUGUGGAAACUCCAGGAAUGAAGUUGCUCUUGAACUAUUUGGCACCAAAAGCAAUCAUAAAAACACCAAAAACACUUGCUACAACAAAGCUUGACAUGAUUCAUCGUAAUGUUGAAAAAGCAAUAACCAAUCAACUUGAGGAAGAAGUACCAGAAUGUGAAAGUGUAGCUUUUACAUCAAAUGGUUGGACUGCAAAAAAUGGUGAUCCUUUUGAAUCUCUCACACUCCAUUACAUCAACAGUGAUUUUGAGUUGAAAAAGUACAGUUUGGACUGCCAGGCUCAUUUAAAUAGGAAA
Hydra vulgaris (swiftwater hydra) is the source of this 807-nucleotide non-coding RNA. Lineage: Eukaryota; Metazoa; Cnidaria; Hydrozoa; Anthoathecata; Hydridae. The record is from RefSeq and is a predicted model, not a curated record.